CGAACGCUGGCGGCGUGCUUAACACAUGCAAGUCGCCCGGCAAGGCCCUGCUUGCAGGGUACUCGAGUGGCGAACGGGUGAGUAACACGUGGGUGAUCUGCCCUGCACUUCGGGAUAAGCCUGGGAAACUGGGUCUAAUACCGGAUAGGAGCCAUUUUUAGUGUGAUGGUUGGAAAGUUUUUUCGGUGUAGGAUGAGCUCGCGGCCUAUCAGCUUGUUGGUGGGGUAAUGGCCUACCAAGGCGGCGACGGGUAGCCGGCCUGAGAGGGUGGACGGCCACAUUGGGACUGAGAUACGGCCCAGACUCCUACGGGAGGCAGCAGUGGGGAAUAUUGCACAAUGGGCGCAAGCCUGAUGCAGCGACGCCGCGUGGGGGAUGACGGCCUUCGGGUUGUAAACUCCUUUCGCUAGGGACGAAGCUUUUUGUGACGGUACCUAGAUAAGAAGCACCGGCUAACUACGUG
RNAcentral lists this ribosomal RNA (463 nucleotides) under uncultured bacterium. RNAcentral describes it as "partial 16S ribosomal RNA". It matches the Rfam family "Bacterial small subunit ribosomal RNA", at positions 30 to 507 of the family's 1533-position model. The record is from RNAcentral.